Molecule: ribosomal RNA, 516 nt
Filed under: uncultured bacterium
Lineage: Bacteria
Description: bacterial SSU rRNA
Rfam family: Bacterial small subunit ribosomal RNA
Source: RNAcentral
AGGAUGAAANCUCAAAGGAAUUGACGGGGACCCGCACAAGCGGUGGAGCAUGUUCUUUAAUUCGAUGCAACACGAAGAACCUUACCUGGGAUUGACAUCCCGUGGAACCGCUAUGAAAGUAGCGAGUGCUCACUUGUGAGAACCACGUGACAGGUACUGCAUGGCUGUCGUCAGUUCGUGUCGUAAGAUGUUGGGUUAAGUCCCGUAACGAGCGCAACCCUUUCCUUAGUUGCCAGCACGUUAUGGUGGGGACUCUAAGGAUACCGCCUGGGACAACCAGGAGGAAGGUGGGGAUGAUGUCAAGUCAGUAUGUCCCUUAUGUCCAGGGCUACACACGUGUUACAAUGGCAAGUACAAUGGGUCGCCAACCCGCGAGGGGGAGCUAAUCCCAAAAAACUUGCCUCAGUUCAGAUUGGAGUCUGCAACUCGACUCUAUGAAGGAGGAAUCGCUAGUAAUCGUGGAUCAGCACGCCACGGUGAAUACGUUCCCGGGUCUUGUACACACCGCCCGUCACG